This is a long non-coding RNA of Solea solea (common sole), 769 nucleotides long. RefSeq lists it as uncharacterized. The record is from RefSeq and is a predicted model, not a curated record. Lineage: Eukaryota; Metazoa; Chordata; Actinopteri; Pleuronectiformes; Soleidae. The transcript is spliced from 3 exons.
UGCUCGUGUGAGAUGAAACAUCUAAAGGCAGGAAGUCUUUAUUCCUCCUGGGGCAUUCUUUUUUUUUCUCAGUCUUUGUCACACUGUAUCCUGUUUUUCUUCUACAACCAACCACCAACUAACAAUACAAGGAAGGGGGUCUGCGCUCUGUCUAGACGAUGGUCUGUCGGCUGUGGUGGAUCAGAUUUGGUGUGGAACCAAACAACAACAGCUGUGACCACCUGACCUAUCUGGCUGAGGUUAAAUGAGAGUCCCACUCGUCUGGUUCGUCCUGCUCUUUAACUGAUCACUACGAACCUGUAUUCUCUUGAACUCCAUUAACACGCGACUACAGGGGUAGCAAAACAAUUUGUAAAAUCGAGACGGCGCUCAUCAAACUGCAAAUGGAAGGAUUCAAACUAGCAAUUUACAAACCAGCUGGUGAGGAGCUACAGUUGUGGCCAGAUGUUCCACAGUAAGACCAAAAAAACAUAAGGUUUUUGCUAAUUCAUCCAGUAGAUGGUAAGUAAUUUCUAUAAGUAUAUCCUCUAUCUAUAACAUCUAUCUUUGGUCCACCAUUUGUUGACCAUUGCCACCUGAAGAAAGUCCUUACUUCCAUCAAAGGUCAUCAGAGGUCAUGUGUUUAAGCAGGUUUGUUUGUUUGUUUGAGCAACACAACUCAAAAAGGGAAGGAAAGAUUUUUGGUGAAGAAUUCUGGAGAUUCAGUGUAUGGAUGGUGAUCUGGACCCAGAUCUGGACCCAUCAGGAUGGUCUACUGACACUGUGGAAA